GACGGUACCUGCAGAAAAAGCGCCGGCUAACUACGUGCCAGCAGCCGCGGUAAUACGUAGGGCGCAAGCGUUAUCCGGAAUUAUUGGGCGUAAAGAGCUCGUAGGCGGUUUGUCGCGUCUGCUGUGAAAUCCGGAGGCUCAACCUCCGGCCUGCAGUGGGUACGGGCAGACUAGAGUGCGGUAGGGGAGAUUGGAAUUCCUGGUGUAGCGGUGGAAUGCGCAGAUAUCAGGAGGAACACCGAUGGCGAAGGCAGAUCUCUGGGCCGUAACUGACGCUGAGGAGCGAAAGGGUGGGGAGCAAACAGGCUUAUAUACCCUGGUAGUCCACCCCGUAAACGUUGGGAACUAGUUGUGGGGUCCAUUCCACG
This 368-nucleotide ribosomal RNA is filed under the name uncultured bacterium. Its description in RNAcentral is "bacterial SSU rRNA". It matches the Rfam family "Bacterial small subunit ribosomal RNA", at positions 471 to 845 of the family's 1533-position model. The record is from RNAcentral.